GGGGUUGUAGCUCAGUGGUAGAGCACUUGCCUAGCAUGUAUGAGGCACGAGCUUCAGUUCUCAGUAUCGCAUAUAAAUAAAUAAAAUAAAGGUCCACGACAAGUAAAAAAUAUUUAAAAAACAAAAAACAAACAAACAUAGGAAACUUACACCAUAAAGCAAUCUAAUCAAUAAAUGGGCAAAGAAGUUUGACAGACACUUUCAAAAGAAGUAGCACAAACUGCAAAUAAAUACAAGAAUGUUCAAUACCUUUUUCCA
Molecule: transfer RNA, 258 nt
Filed under: Marmota monax (woodchuck)
Lineage: Eukaryota; Metazoa; Chordata; Mammalia; Rodentia; Sciuridae
Description: tRNA.Ala
Source: RNAcentral